Molecule: RNA transcript, 1557 nt
Organism: Solanum dulcamara
Lineage: Eukaryota; Viridiplantae; Streptophyta; Magnoliopsida; Solanales; Solanaceae
Exons: 12
Source: RefSeq, a predicted model, not a curated record
CACACAUUCGAGGACCCCGUGAGUUCAUCUUGUCGCUCCCAAGCAAGAUUCGACUUCUUCAUUCCUCUCUAAAGAUCAAGAAAACAAAUCUUCAAUUACUGCAAAAAUUCUGAUCAAGAAAAUAAAUUGCUGGUUAUGUAGUUUCAGGAAUUCGAAAUGACAAUUGGUGGCAGUAGUUUCCCAAAUCGUCGUCUACUCAUUCUGCUUCUUCUUCUUCAAGUAAUCUUUGCUACCAUCAUUCCUUUGGUCAAUGGAACGUGCCAGCUGAGUUUUGAGAAGGACAAUAAGCUUUACAAUUACAGCUUAACAAACCCAAUUCGUAAUUUCCCUCAUGGCAUCCUCAGUGAAGAUGGGUUCUACAAGGUGGCUUUAAAUGGGACUGUGCUAUGGUUUCAGCUUUGUGAUGCAAUGAUUUUCAACCAUGAUCCUCCUACCUGUGUUGAGUGUGGGGACUGUGGUGGUAUUUCUCGUUGUGGUAUGGGUUGUAGUGCCCUUGUGGCUAACAUUGUUGGAGGUUAUCCCGUGUGCACUACUCUUGGAUAUGCAUCAAGCAUGUCCUUUGAACUCAUUGACAAAACAGAUCCACUUAAAGGCAUCACGGCUAAACUGUCUAACAGAGCCACAAAGCUCAACUGUUCACUUGCUGUAUCUAUUGUAUGUGAUACAAAUGGAGUUCAAGGUCCUCAGACACUUGAAUUAGUUGGGACUUGUGAUUACGCUACAAAAAUACAUCACCCCUCCGGCUGUGCAGUGAUUAUAUCCUCUCACGGGAACAGAAUGGGCUGGUUUGGUACCAUGUUCAUAAUCAUCCUAUUCUUCUUUGGAGUUUACUUGCUGGGUGGUGCAGUCUAUCGGUACUACUCUUUGGGCAUUCGUGGGAUAGACAUAAUUCCAAACUUGGAGUUUUGGGCGAGCUUGCCACAUACAUUACAGAGUUCAUUUACAUCAUUGGUGCGGAGAUUCAGAGGACCUUCUCAUGGUCACAGGAGCUCGUAUUCUCCUGUCAAUUUUUGAGCAAUAACAUGUUUACUAAGCAAAUGAUAUGAUGAAUCAAUUUUUGACGUGGAUUGAAGUUGCUUCAAGAAAAGCAGAUCCUCGUGCUCCUCUCCACCAAUACAACCUAACUUGCAUGACAUUCAACAAUCAAAGCUACUGGUAAUCCUGGGGCGGCACCCUCCUAUGAUAGUUAGCAAUACUAAAAGCGAGUCCUUGGUAUGAGGAAAGCUUUUCAUGGCGGUCUUUGAGAAAUAAGGAACUUGUUACGCCUUCAGAACAAUGGCGAUUCAAAGUCAAUAGUUUCGUGUAUGGAUGUCAAGACAACAUCAAUUCUAAAUCUCAGGGUAUUCCAGGGAGUAACAAAUAUUUACAACCAUGAGUUUGUGUGAAAAAGCAUAUGGGGAAGGCAGUUUGUGAUUGAAAAAGCUCUUCAAAAUAACUUUUUUGGGAACAAUUAGGAUAAAGUAAUAAGUAGUGAAACUGAAAUAAUCAUGUAAAAAAAUAAUCUUGGCCAAUUAUAUUUGAGAUCCUAAAUUUUGUUAUGUCAAUGGGAAUCACCUG